This 422-nucleotide ribosomal RNA is filed under the name uncultured bacterium. RNAcentral's name for it is "bacterial SSU rRNA". It matches the Rfam family "Bacterial small subunit ribosomal RNA", at positions 358 to 772 of the family's 1533-position model. The record is from RNAcentral.
GGAAUAUUGGACAAUGGGCGCAAGCCUGAUCCAGCCAUGCCGCGUGUGUGAAGAUGGCCUUCGGGUUGUAAAGCACUUUUGUACGGGAAGAAAAGCACUCGGUUAAUACCCGGGUGUCAUGACGGUACCGUAAGAAUAAGCACCGGCUAACUUCGUGCCAGCAGCCGCGGUAAUACGAAGGGUGCAAGCGUUACUCGGAAUUACUGGGCGUAAAGGGCGCGUAGGCGGCCUGUUAAGUCGAACGUGAAAUCCCCGGGCUCAACCCGGGAACUGCGUCCGAUACUGGCAGGCUCGAAUCCGGGAGAGGGAUGUGGAAUUCCAGGUGUAGCGGUGAAAUGCGUAGAUAUCUGGAGGAACACCGGUGGCGAAGGCGGCAUCCUGGACCGGUCUUGACGCUGAGGAGCGAAAGCUAGGGUAGCAAA